AACGAACGCUGGCGGCAUGCCUAACACAUGCAAGUCGAACGAGACCUUCGGGUCUAGUGGCGCACGGGUGCGUAACGCGUGGGAAUCUGCCCUUGGGUCCGGGAUAACAGUUGGAAACGACUGCUAAUACCGGAUGACGUCUUCGGACCAAAGAUUUAUCGCUCAGGGAUGAGCCCGCGUCGGAUUAGCCAGUUGGUAGGGUAAAAGCCUACCAAGGCGACGAUCCGUAGCUGGUCUGAGAGGAUGAUCAGCCACACUGGGACUGAGACACGGCCCAGACGCCUACGGGAGGCAGCAGUGGGGAAUAUUGGACAAUGGGCGAAAGCCUGAUCCAGCAAUGCCGCGUGAGUGAUGAAGGCCUUAGGGUUGUAAAGCUCUUUUACCCGGGAUGAUAAUGACAGUACCGGGAGAAUAAGCCCCGGCUAACUCCGUGCCAGCAGCCGCCGUAA
This 449-nucleotide ribosomal RNA is filed under the name uncultured bacterium. RNAcentral's name for it is "partial 16S ribosomal RNA". It matches the Rfam family "Bacterial small subunit ribosomal RNA", at positions 29 to 523 of the family's 1533-position model. The record is from RNAcentral.